RNAcentral lists this long non-coding RNA (1605 nucleotides) under Capra hircus (goat). Its description in RNAcentral is "lncRNA (ENSCHIG00010029968.1)". The record is from RNAcentral. Lineage: Eukaryota; Metazoa; Chordata; Mammalia; Artiodactyla; Bovidae.
AUGGGGCAUAAUGUGAUUGCCCUGGGGGCGCCAUCCUUGUGCAGAGUGACGUCUGCUCAGAGAAAGCUAAAGCUAACAGGGGAGCAGGUCUCUGCAUCUGGCGUUUCCCCCCAUCCUGCGACAUUAACUCGGAGCAUUUCACCCCGCUGUGACACUGANCACCCAUCCUCUCUCCACCCCUAUUGUCUAGUUCUGAUGUGCUCUGGCCCCGCUAAUUCUAGGGCUGUACUGGCUUAUGCCUCUUUCAUCCUAGGAGGAAAGAAAGCUGGUCUUUACUAAUAAAAGUGUGAAAACUGAAAUGUCACCACUUUCAACACAAACAAUAUAUAUUUAUUGAAUGUAUGACUACAACAACUUGGAAUGACUGCCAGCCAUGUUUCCAAAUAUUUGAGGCCUAUUUAAGUAAAGAAGCAUGAAUAAUUUGAAACUGGAAUUUUUUUUUUUUUUUUUUNNNNNNNNNNNNNNNNNNNNNNNNNNNNNNNNNNNNNNNNNNNNNNNNUUAGGAGUGGUUGCCUCUGGGGAGUAGUAUCAGGAACUGGUCUGGGGACUUAGGCUGUUCAUUAUAAACCAUUAUGCAUGCUUUCUUUUUAAAAAUCAGAUGUAUGGAUUACUUUGACUUUUUAAAAAAUCCCUCCCUUAAGUAGGCUUAGUUCAAUUUAAAUAAAAUUUGCUGAAUGCCUUGUGCCAGACAUUGUGCUGGGCAUCUCAGCUCAGCAGCGAAGGUCCAGCUCUUGCUUGGGAGUUCAUGGUCUAGUUGGAGAAACAGAACAGACUGUAGGCAUUUUAAAAUAAUAUGAUGCCAGCUUAGAGGGAGGUCGCCAUGAAGUUAAGUGUCUCCCUCCCCAGAUAUUCUAUUCAUACAUUUAUUUUAAAUUUCUGUCUUUAUGAUGAGUGUAUGUAUCUGAACAGCAUUCUAAUGAUCACAGUUCUGGUUUUAGUGGAAAAAGAAUAGAUGAGACUUGAGCUAAUCUUACUUGAUAUGGAAGCCUCCAAAAUGAGUCAGAGAGAGAGGCAUAAAACCAGUCAUGAGUUUUAUUUUGCUCCUUUCUCUCUGGACAUGAGUGCAAACAGUGUAUACUGGGCCAAAAUCAUAAAUAGGAAUAGGCUGUGCUUGUCUCAGGACAUUUUCCAUUCCCUUAAGCCCACAGCUGCCAAUUUCUGUGUCCACAUGCACAGAAUUUUUAGUGACUUCCAAUGAUUCUAGUGCACCCAAGACCAAUGCCAUCUUAUUAUUAGAAGAUGUUUCCCAGCUUGAGUUAGAAGCAAGCUGAGCAUCUGUCUCAAGCCCUAAGUCCUUCUGGUUUUACUGACAAAGCUUCCAGAUUCAUCUGGGGUCUGGUAGACAGAUUUGAGUAAAUCUCUCAGCUUGUUCAGUAGCUCAUGAGGUUGCACUUUCCUCAAAGAGCAAAGCAGCAUUACUCUGUGUAUCACCAGAGUGUCCUGAGUCAUUCUGAUUUUUUAAAUAUUGUUGAACUAUAGCACUAAAAUAGCGUUGAAAUGAAGGUUCUUGUUUUGUGAUAUCUAGCUAUUCCUCUGUCUUGUUCAAGAGGAAAUUUUCUCAGUUCAGUUCAGUCGCUCAGUCAUGUCCAACUCUUUGCGACCCCA